This 13317-nucleotide long non-coding RNA is filed under the name Homarus americanus (American lobster). RNAcentral's name for it is "uncharacterized LOC121859488, transcript variant X1". Lineage: Eukaryota; Metazoa; Arthropoda; Malacostraca; Decapoda; Nephropidae. The record is from RNAcentral.
UUUUCCACCAAUCAGAGCUUAGGUUAAACGAUGUGCCACGCGCAGCUGUGCAAAAUAAACAAGACGGAGGCCAAGUCUGGUUGAUACCAAGGCCGUCUGCCUCCUGGUAUAGCGCUCUCCUGCGCUCCACAAGCAUGACUAGCUACGUUAAAGGCCUCUACGACUACAUUAGACCGGGACCCAACACUACUGCAGCUCCCACUUCUUCGACUACAUUAACUACCACAAACAGUCCAGUUCAAAGUGGACCCACAACUCCCACCACCCCCCCUGAUACUAAGCCAGAACAACAGCCAGGCUACUUGAAGAGGGCUGUGUCUGGAGUAGCCUCGGGAAUUUAUACUGUAGGUUCAAGUACUGUGGGCGCUGGUGUGACAGGUGUCAAGUGGGUUGCAGGGACGACAUACAGUGUUGGCGCAGGAGUCGUAGGGACUGCUGGAACUGUCGUUGCUGGAACUGCUGGCACUGUGGCCAGUGGAGCAACUGCAGUAUUAUCCAAGGUCUCUACAAAGAAGAAGGAGCACAGUGACUGAUGCUUUAAUGUCAAACACACACUCCGAGCCCCAACUAGUACUGUUAAGGUAUAUAUAUAUAUUUUUCUCACAUUCAUAAGAAAUAUUGCAGAAGAGUAAUUUUAUAUGUUUAUAUUGGCCAAAGUAGCUGUAUCAUUAAUGAGGCUUUGGAAUUAAUGUGAGUAACACCUACCUUCAGACAAAAGUAACUCAAGCUUAAGGAACAAUGAUAAAGACUUAGGGAUACAGUAUAUAUAUAUAUAUGAUAAUGAUAUUAGUUACAGUGUAUGUGUGGCAAAUGACAAAGUGUCAUAAUGUCUGUUGAAUAUUUCUAAUUCAUUAUAAUAAUUAUAAUUAAAUAUUCAUCAUUUACUUUAACUUAAACAUGCUAAGAUUUCUUUUACUGUAGUAUAUCAUGAUAGUCAUUUGGGGGUAAAACUACCAAUUCAGGUAUUAAAAACGCCCUGAUUUUUUUCCCUAAAAAUUUGGAUACUACUACAGUAUUUGACUGAGUAUGUGUACAACAUCUUCUCAUCUGGUAUUGAUAUAUUCAGAGUCUGCAAAUUUAAACAUGAAUGAGCCAUAUCUUCUAGUUACACUCUGUUUUUUGCCAAACUGUAGACAGCAGAUUAUUGGUUUAAACAAAUUGUCAUGACAUUAGUUAAGUGAAAUGAUUAGUUCUUAAGUAAUGGUUUUAUGUCAGAACCUGUAAUGUACACAGAUAAAUGAAUGUAUACACUCACAGGUGAAAUUUUUUUACAAUUUAUGUUUUAUUUAUGAGUAUUGAAUUAUAUGUCUCCAUACAAAGACACAGGUGCUAUGGGCUCCACCACGUCACUUUGUGUUAGUAAGUAAACUCAACAAAUCCUUCGCAACUUCAUGACAGUCCCUUCAAAUACUUAUAAGACAAUCAUUUGUAUUAUUUUUUUCCACUCCAUGUGAUUGAUUUUUUACUAAACUGUAAUAGAUUUAAUCACUACUUUUAUUUGAAUCUAGUUUUACAUGUGUUUGCUGGAAAUGAUAGAGAGAGUUAUAAUAUUCUCAUAAACUACAGUACAUUAGGCACAUGGUACAUCCUUCUCUUAAUUUUUCAUGUAAAGAAUUACUUGUAGAAUAUCUAGUUGAAUAUUUGUUAGAUGUGAAUAAUAUUUUGAUAUGAAAUAGGCUUUGUAGGGCAGUAAUUUAAGUGAUGAUGAAGUGUCCGUUGAGAAAGUCAUCGUGGACGUUGUUUGUACUGUACCUCAUCUCUUACACCACACCUUAUGCUCUACACUGUAUACCUACUUUCCCUUGGGUUUAUUAUUAGUAAUGCUCAAAAUAAAGUGCUUUAAGAACACUUGUGGUGGAUUUGUCCAUUAGAUGCAAAAGAUGGGUUGUUGCAUUAAUGUUGAAAUAGUUCUGUUUGUAUGCCUUUAAUAGUAGAAUUGUUAUUGUUCAGUAGUACUCAAUAUACAGUACUUUACUUUUAAAAUUAUUUUUUUAUUUCCUUUAAAGGUAAUCCUACAGUGUAUUAUAUGGCAAGAGGAAAAUUUUUGUCAAUGUGGGAUUAGUGGGUACAGUACUCUUCUCUGUGUAUGCUAAGUGACUAAUGUCAGUCAUCUUAAAUGGGAAAAUUUUUAAUGUUGUCCUGUACUGUGUGUCUGUCUUUGUUGGAUUUAGAAUAAAUUAUGGUACUAAUUAAUAGAUACAGUACAGAAUAUCUCUUCUCAGAUAGGUAUCCAUUAAAGUGAAAGGAUAUUGAAUAUGAAGGAAAUAUUUAUGUAAUAUAGAUAGAACUUCAUUAAAAGUUGCUCUUUAUCUCAUUUGAGUAAAAAAAAACCGGGUAACUCAGUUAAAUGGAAUAAAAAAAAAUCGAGUUAAACAAAGUAAGUUUAGGGAUUAUGCACUGUUGAGAGAGUAUAGGUAUAUGUUUCAAACUUUGAAUGAUACUCACACUAAACUUCCCCACCUUAGCAAAUACUGUAUGUUAGUAUCUUGUUGCCUUCAGGUAGAAAACUGGAUGGCCUCCGCCGCACAUGGAAACUCUAGUGCUAUGUUGUCUAGCUUUUUUGGGUGAAUACUAGUGAACUUGGCCUCAUCUGAACCUGGCCUCGUGGAGAUCCCAACCUAUAUAAGUACAGAAUAAACCUGUUUUGGUUAGAGUAUAUAAUAAAUAGAUAUACAGUAAUAUAUAUGUCAGACCUCUGGUGUCUUUCCAUGUUACCUGCCUUGAAUUGGAAGGUCAGGAAAUGGACUAUAAACAACAGGUAACCCAAGGUGUCAGGUUGGGAAACAUGAAGCUCCUCCCAGAGUCACAUUGGCCAAUCAUGAGUCUCAGUGCAUUCAGGUCAGUCAUGGGGCAUGACCCUCUAAAAGCUGAACUUUGUUUUAAUUUUUGUCACUUGUCAGACAGGAAGGUUUGAUCUACUACAUUGUGUUAAAAUUUAUGUGGAUUACUCACCUCUAAGUCCGCCUCCCCGUGUGUCAUUUGUUCCGAGGAUGUCCGACCUCGCCAAGAAUCUCUUAAGUGUCGGGCUUGUCUGGCAGCACAGGCUUCUCUUGAGCUGAUGAAAGUUAUCAGAAUAUUUUGCAAUGGUACUUAGAUUAAAAUGGGUAAAAAGAAUUUUGCAUGUCUAUCUCUUCCCAACCAGCAAAUUGUGUGGCCAGGUUUUAGAGCCAAGAGCUAGGUUCUCUCAGGGGUCGGGCUCUAUCUGGUCCAAAAGGUCGGGUUCUGCCAAGGGCCGAAUUCACCUGAUAUCAUUUUUGGCUUGUGGACCCGUAACCAACUUCAUAUGGUCCAUGCACUUUCACCUCACAAAUGCUAUUAAUAGAAAAAACAAACAAUGGAUACACAUCAAAAAUAUCUUUGUAGAUUCACAAUACUGUACUAUAUUACUAAACCAAAAUAAGUACUGUAUCUCUAUUCUGAAUAGAUGUCCAUAAUAUAAAAAGAUUAAAGUAAAAAUAGAAAUCGGGGAAACCUUGUACAUUUAUAAAACUCCCACAAAAUUCUUACAAACAAAGUUAUUUAACACCAUAUCAAAUUAACAUUGCCAAAGCAGUAUGAAAAAAAAAGUACAAUAUAUCCCAAAGACCUCUCAUGUACCCCAUGUUCAACAACCCAGCGCUAUUGUUAAAGUGUUGUAGUGACGGUGUCCUUAUUCUCAAUAACCACCACUUGCCAGCCUGUUUCAUUUUCUCAACCUGCACCUUGUUUUUUACUGUACAGGAUAUUCUAUUUUCAAAUUCUUCCUUUUAAUACAGUGCUUGUUUUAUUCAUUUGUACCUUUCAAUUUUUUCCUGUUUCUUUCCUUGUGCUUUAUAACUUGUACAGUAUAUACUUACUAAGGACACCCACAUCUUCUCUCACAAACUGUUUCUCAAUAAGAGUAAGUGGUGACCGAUUCACUUAACUAGCAUUUGACUUAGUUUGUCAUGUUUAUACUACAUUUAUAUGUUUACAAGUACAAUAUAGCAAAUGUUUAAAAUGCUUCUUUAAAAUAUGAAAGUGACAGGAAUAUUUAGAAGAGAUGUUACAGGGCAUCCCAUUAAUCCUUUGCUUGUGUAUGAGUUCCUCUCAAAACUGAAUAAAAUCAUAGUGAAGGGAUUAAGGGAGUGAGUCUUCCUAGUGGAUAAGGGGCCAAGGUUGUUGCCAGGCCAGAAGAUUGACUGGUGUCAUAGAUGUCAUAUUUAGACAAAAAUAAAAGAAAUUGUACAUACUUCAUAUAAGAUCUAAGGUUUUUGUGUUAAUAUGCAUAUACAGUAUGAAUAUUGUUUCAAGAUGUGCAUAUAUGUUACUAGUCAUUUAUACCAAUUAAUAACUAUCAAACUGUGAGCCUUGUAUAGAAACUCCUUUCAACAGUAGGGGCUUCAUACAUCUCGGCUAUUUCAAUUAACCAGAUUUUAAACAGUAUAGCCUGUGUCUUUUUCAGUAAGUUGUAUUGCAUUAUAAUGUAACAUAAUGAAAGAAAUUUUAUAAGUUACAACUACAGGCAUAUUGAACUUACAAUUUAAUAUUUCCCUUUUUUUUUUCAAGUCUUGUAGACCUCCUUUUGUAAUAUUAUUGAGUAGCCGUAACUAAGAAUAACACAACUUCUCCUAAUUUGUUUUUGUCUUUUUACUUUUGCAGCUGUAGUGUUCUCAUAAACCACUUGAUUACAUACAUACCUGUACCUUACUGCUUCUUGUAUACUGUACAUAUAUUUCCCUCACUUCUAUUGUGUCCCUCAAUUUAUCCUUCCCUCUCUUUCUUGGUGUUCCUCUUGCCUUCAACCAAUCCACAUUUGAAUUAAAUCAUUACACAUCUCUAAUGGAUUAAUUAUUGCACAUGAUGGUCUGGAACAGGGGAAAUGCUGAUAUAACAAAACAUUUGCAAUACAAGUACAGUAGUGGUAGUAUAUAAACGUGAGCUAUGAGAGGCAGACACUUGUUCCAUUAUCUUAAAGUUGGCACUGUUAUAUUUAAUUCUUGGCUCCAAAGUGUUAAGAUCAUCACUUACUUCUGAUAAUAAUAAUUUUGAACUUGAUCCACUGGUGAUGGUGGUGGUGAUAAAGAUGAGUUUAUAUUACUGAUGAUAAUGGAGGGUUUAAGUGGAUUAUUGUGUUGAUGGCCCUGGUCUUGGGUUAUCAAGAGAUGGCAAAGUAGUGCUGGUGGGGGUUUCAGUGGGGCAAACUAAAGACUCAGCCUUUAUGAAGAUUUGUUUAUUUUAGUUUUGCAUUGUCCUUUUUUUAAGCCCUUUAUAAAUUUCCCUGUAUGAAGCCAUGGCAGCUUGAAUUUUUGGCUUGAACUACAGUAUUAACUGCUCAAGGUCCUGUAACUUAUUUCCUGUGGGACUAUGUCAGAUAUUAAUUUUUUGUUCCACCAAUGUCAUCAACUUUGUGAAUUUUGAAGGUGAGAAACAAGAUACUGCUUUGUUGUCUGCAGAGCCAGAAAAGAAGCUCAUAAUGAAUUUCUAUCGCUUGAAAAUGAAGCCUUUCAAGUUAAUUAUUAGUACUACAGUAUAUCAUGGGUUUUUGUAAUAGUUUUGUUAGUUUUGGUAAUAAAUUUUAAUCAUAUUGUUUGAUUAGUGUUGUCAGUCACACAGGUCUCUCCACAUCAAUAAGGUUUAUACAAAAACUCACAUAGCAGUCCCAUGGUGAUGAACAAUAAUAUCUCCUCACAUGAAUUACAAUCUAAUUUACACUAAAUAUUGUACAGUACACUUCAGUAACACAGAAAAUACCAAAGCAACAGUGGUAAGUAAGAUGAUUACAUACAGAGGAAAAAUAAUGGUGGAAUGAUUGGGGUUAAAAAGUUCUUGGAGAGCCAAAUGGAUGAGAGUACAUCAAAUGGUAUUAAUAAAUAAUUACACACCAUAAAGGAACAUAAGGCAAAUAAGAGAAUGACAAGGAAGAUUUAUAAAAGGAUGCUGGGAAGUACAAAACAACACUUGACUGAGAGAUGGACAGUGUAUUACAGUAUAUAGAUCUGUUAGUAAGGCCAAGAGAUGUCACAUGAUACAAUAUGAGGAUCGUAUGACCAGAGUGGACAAAGCACCAGAAAAAUAAUAGAGACCUCUGGCACUUUCCCCUCUGUGAUCUACUUAUAGCAAAAUCGACCAUAUUAACACAUCCAGAGGUGGUUUCUCUAUCCUUUUGUGAAUAAAUCUUUGAUUUUGACCCUACAGUAGUAGUUCUUUGCCAACUCUGGUCGUACGUGCUUCAUAUAUUUAAGUAUCUUGAGGAAUGAUUGCAGACUGUGUACAGUCAAUAAAAACUAUCUUCAUCUCGUGCACAAUGAAGUUCAGGUGAGUUGCAGUAAGCAAUAUUAGAAAUAGUAAGAAUUGUCUUGUUCUGAUUUCCCAAUCAUAUAAUCUACAAUGUACAUAAAAAUAUGCCAAAAGUAACAAACUGUCUCAUUUAGUCUCUUAUGUUGACUCACUAAAGGUGAAAUAUAACAAAGAAAAUGUUUACAUUAAUGAAUUACAGAUUAGUUUAACAUUUUUAUUAAGUGAAAGAAGAGAUAGCUUUAAGUAUGAAGAGUGUUAUGUAAGUAAACCAUACUACAACUCAUCAAUUUAACAACUUACUGCAGUAAUUUUGGACUUAAAGUUUUUAAUAUAGUAUUACUUUAAAAAAACCACUUGAAAUUGCCAUAAAUACUGUCAACAUUAUUCUUGCACAGUUUACCAUAGAACAGAGUCCAAACUUUGCAGGAUGAAUAGAUCACCAUAUUUUUCUACUGUACAGGGGCCUGUAUUUGAAUUCUGUACAGCGUUCAUAUUUCACUAGAGACCAAUGUGCUUCCACAGAGCAAACUACCUUCAUAUCACUUCUUGGGAAUUAUUUUUUAUUAUGCUUCAAGAUAAUGAUGAAUUAACAUUGUAAUUUACAAGUAAGAGAAAUAGUCAUUGUCAAAUUUCUGUAGUUAAUUACAGGUUGACUGACCCUCUCUUAUCCAACAUUCUAUCGACCGCCAACUCCCAAAUAACAACACUAGUUAUACAAAAAGCAUUACCUGUAUCCACCAAACCUCCCAAUUAACAGCACAUUCAACCACUGCAUAGUUGUCCAAUUGGCUGCUUGGUGGCAGGCAUUUAUUGGUACAGGUAUUUAAUAAUUAUUCUACCCACAAUUCACAUUACAGUACAGUAUAUAAUGUCUUAAAGGCAACUAUUAUAUACUUCUGUCUCUAGUUCUCCCAAGAGGAAGAGACACACACUAACUAUAAGAGAAAAUAGAGCAGCUGCUGAUCAAUUUGGAUCACUGUGUUUCUGUUCUCUAAGUGAAAUGUACCAUGUUUGUUCUUCUACAGUGUCUGACUUGAAGUAGAAAGGGAAUUUUCUUAUCUUUAUGCACAAUUUUUUGGGGUAUAAUGGCUGUGCUUAGUUAAAUAUUGAUUGUUCCCUAUAAAAUACAAAUCUUUUUUCUCGUUUUAAAAUAUUUAAAAAUAAAAUUCAUAUCACUCGCACUCAACUAGAACCUUAUUGCAGUGAGGGUUGUUGUCGUGAGUACAUACAUAAUAUUUUUCUUUGGAAAUCCUGCCAAAUUGUGCAUACUGUGUGUUUAAAGACCCUCCAGUGCUUUGCCAACCACAGCUUGUAUCAAGAGACAGGUGAAAUUAGACUUGAUUAAACAUGAGCAUAGUAAAAGAAGAAUGGUUGAGAAUCAGAUGUGAGAGGGAAAAUAUGACUUGUACUUAGCAAGAAAUUAUUCAUUACCACAGUUUAUAUUAUGCAUUCUGACAAUUAAAAAAGUUUAUUGUUUUAAUGUGGUAAAAUUGGGUGUAGGUGGAGGUGGUACGGGUAGCUAGCUGAUGUAGGGUGGUCCAUGGUCAAUUGACAAAAGGUUCCUUGAGAUGGUGAUUAUGGACAACCCUUUCAGUAAUAGAGGUACUGUACAAAUUUUAUAUUGUAUUUUAUAUACCUUGUAUUUCUAUGUACUAAGUUAUUUGUUUCAAUUUUUGUGUUCCUGUAUGAAAAAAUUUCCUUAGGGAGGCAAGGCUGCGAGAGUAACACAAAAUUGUUUGAAGAUAAUGAAUAAUGAAGAGUGUACAAUACAGUAUCAUGAGUACAAGUGCUCAGAUAAGACUUGGGAUAUGCAAAUUCUACAUAUUUUUCAUUUGGUAUUUUAUUUUGCAGUAAUGUAUUCCAUUUAUUAAGCAUUGUCAUAUUGUUAAUUUAUUUAUUAUGAAGUACAUCAAAUUUGUACCAAAAAAAAUCCGUAACAUAAUGAAGCAUUAGGUUAAAUGUAGCAUAGGGUAAUGUGCCAUUAUAUAUCAACCUUGUAUUUAAUGAAAAUUUCUAAUAUUUGUCAUGAACCUGUUCCCAAGGUUGUCAGAUCAGAGGGUCAACCUGUACUGUAAAAAAAAUACUGAUACUCUCUACUUGUGUUUGUAAACAUCAAAUGGGCUUUGUUACUUUACACACAGGAACUACUGGUAUGAAUAUGUAGAAUCUUAUGGGAUCAAAUUGUGCCAUAGACAGAGUACUGUACAAUAAAGCAAGUAAUAUGGGGAUUUUGAACAUUUUAAUGCCUUGAAAAUGUAAUAUAUGUUACUACUGGUACAUGGAAGUGGCAGUUAUCAUGGACAUUAUUGUAGUACAGUACAGUAUUUCCAUUGCACUUUAGUACAAAAACUAAAACUAUCUAAUGGUGUGAUUUAACUUGUUUCUCUUAAAACUACAGUUAAUGAUUCCUCUUGCAUCCCAAUGUAUUAUUAUUUGGUAUGGGCUCCACCAUCUUAUAGUAGAACCUCAGAAGUCAACUACAAUAUGUACAAUUCUUAGAAAACUUUGGGGAGGGAGGAAUAGGUGCUUGCAGAUACCACACUGUUUCUAGAAUCAUAUCCACCCAGUAUUAAUUUAUGGUCACCUUGUUUACAGGACUACUCCAGUUUCAGUGUGCAUAUUACUAGGGACAGAUGAAGAAUGACCCGAGUCCCAACCAUAAGCCCCCUUCCAUACUUGUGUUGAUAUCCUGCAGUGUAUAUAAUUGGUGGGUGAAGUGAUGGAGCACUAUUGUAUUCUUUUAUUAGGAUUCUAUUAAGUCACAACCAAUGAAUUGCAUAUCACAAUCAUUAUAUGCUAGUCAGCUGAUCCCUGUAUAAUAAUGUCUGCUAGUUCUGAUUUAUUAAGUAGAAUUUCCAAUGUACAGGUACUGUUAUAUUAAUUGAACAUUACAUGAAUAAUAUACUAUCAUAGUGAUAAGCUAUGGGGCCCAACUUAACCUGGCAGCUAUCCCCCCUUUGCCAGCCCUGCCUAUUACACCUUACUUUUAUGUUUACUUUUUUUUUUUUUUUUACUUUGUUCUGGCAAGAGUAAUGUUUUCCUAAUACAUAAUAGUGUACAGUACUGUCUGUGAUUUAGGGGAUUGGGAGGAAUUCACAAAUCUGCUAUGCUCUUGGUUCUAAUAGUGUUGGUUGUCUGAGGUUAUAUAUAUAUAUAUAUAUAUAUAUAUAUAUAUAUAUAUAUAUAUAUAUAUAUAUAUAUAUAUAUAUAUAUAUAUAUAUAUAUGCUUACCGGUAUGUAACAUUUUAACUAAAUAUUGAUAUAGCAUAAUUAAGUCUUCUUGCUGCUAAAUUAAGACUUUGUUUUUGUUUGUUAUUCAAGAUAAAUGACAUUUUUGGUAUUUAACAAUUGACAUUGCCGGUCAUAUUUGCUCCCUAUUGUCUCUAGUCUUAUGAAGGUGUUUGUAAUACUGUAUUUUUUUUUUAAGCUAAACACCUUAGGGUUGAUUCUUAAAAAGUGUAUUCAAUGAAGUAAGGGUAUUUUUUGGUAGUGGGUAUUUGUGUGCAUAGCCUAAUUGUACAAAGUACAAAAAACUAUAUUGUGCAAUACAUCAGUAAACAUAAAAUACAUGCAUGAGUUUCUUAGAAUGUACAAAAUUUUGUAUAACAGGGGUCGGCAACCUUUUGAACACACUGUGCCAUUUUUUAACAUUUUUACUGCCCUGCGUGCCAACUAUUAUUUUCAAUAUGCAAAUUAUUGUCAUGUGUAUAUUGAUAAAUAAUGCUUUCAUAUAUAUUUGAAAUACUGUACACAUAACUACAUACCGUAUGAAUGGUAAGAUGUAUAAUCAAAUACUAUAAAAUGCUCUCACCAUUUUAGUGUGAUCCCUGUCCCUGCUUCCCCUUGCUCAGCGUUGCUAUGUCGGGAGUAUAUCUGGACACCUUAAGUUGCACACACCCCUCGGAGUGCUUGGUUGUAAGUCGGCUGCGAUGAGGAUUGAGGAUAUUCACGUGUGAAAAUAUCUGCUCACAUAGAUAUGUCGUUCCAAAGGGUGAAAGUGCAAAGGCAUCCUUCUUCAUGCAAUCAAAUUUCUCUGGUAGGGAUGUCCAGCAGCUUAGGAUGGAGACCUCAUGAUCACUCGCAGUCGUUUCAAGUGUUUUACGUAGUUCCGUGAACUUUACUACCCAUAAUGAAAACAACUUAAAAUCGAUCAGCUGCAUCUCCAGGUCCCCAAUUUUCAUCCACUCAAAUAAAGACAAGUCCAAGUCACUCUCCUCAAAGUUUUCAGGUUUAAUUAAAAAGGAAAACGUUGGGCCAAUGUGCUGGAAAUCUUGAAAUCUGACAGAGAAUUUGGACUUCAUUCUUGCAUGUACCUUGUACACUGUAGUGUUCACAGGAUGAUGUGCUGACCACCCUUUCAGGUGCUAGAAGUAGCAGAAAGUUGUAGUUUCAAUAUCCACCAAGCCUUCCAAGUGCCAUACAGAUCCACAACUGUUUGUCCUGCACCCUGCAGGCGAAGAUUAAAGUCACUGAGGUGUUUGGUGGUGUCUGAGAGAAGCCUAAGUUUCACUACCCAUUGGUCAUCUUCCAGUUCAGGAUAUUUUUGGCCCUUUUCUUUCAGGAAGAUCCCGAUUUCAUCAACGCAUUCCACGAGCCAUUCUCAAACCUUCCCGCAACUUAACCACCUAACACUGGAGUAAAGGGAUAUGUCUCCAUAUGCACUAUUCAUCUCAUCAAGAAAAGACUGGAGUUGUCUGUGUGUAAGGGCAGAUCGUCCAGCCAAAAAAUUCAAAAUUUUUGUCAGUGGCCAUUACUUUAUUGAGAUCAGAGUUUGAAAUUCUGGCACACAGAUUUGCUUGAUGAAUAAUGCAGUGUAACUUAAGGGUGGGGUGCCCAAUUUUAUCCUCAAUUAGCUGGGCAAAUGCCCUGUGUUUUCCUACCAUAGCAGGAGCGCCAUCUGUUGUAACUGCAAAUAUUAUUUUAACAUCAACCCAUCUCUCCUCAAAAUGAUCAAUGAACGUUUUAACAACGUCAUCUCCCUUGGUAGUACCACGCAUUGGUCGUAGGCAGCACAGCUCCUCGUGUACCUACGUGUCACUGUACCUGGCGACAAUAGCCAAACGUGGUAUGUCAUUUAUAUCAACACUCUCAUCAACAGCAAUACUGAACACAGUUGCAUGCCUCUACAGUCCUGGCAGCAACAGGCAUGUCUUUUAUCCUCAAGAUGAUUGUGUGUUUGUUUGGUAAAUCCCUAAAUAAAACUUAAGAGCUGUUGAGAAAGGCCUCCUUUAUAAUCCCCAUCAAUAAAUGGUUUUUCAUGUUUAACAAUACAGAGAAACUUGGUAGCUGGCCUCAGUUGCAUGAUCUUUGUUUCCACUCAGAUUCUUCAUCACGCUGUUUUGUAGUGGGAUAAUGCUUUCUUAAUUGCUUCAGCCUUGUCUGCAUUGUCCUUAAAUGUCUUCUCAUGCUUCGUUUCAUAAUGUCUCUUUACACUUGAUGUCCGGCAAACAACAUUCUCGCAACACAGAGCACACACAGCUCGACCAUUCUUUAGAAUAAAUCCAAAGUCUUUUGUCCAAGAGGGUUGAAACGAUCGAACAUUUAAUUUGGCGUUCUUGGCAGCUGCCAUUGUGGCUACUUAAUUAUGAAUAGAUUUUGUCACUGCGACUGAAAGCACACUGACCAUGCCUGACGGUCUGAGUAACCAGUGUUACCACCUAGAAAUAGAAACUCCCACAAAUAAAAAAUCCAGUAGAUUGAUUACUACUAGAAAGAUUAUUGAGUAAUUUCAUUGAAAGUGACAUAAAUUAAAAAUAAUAAAACAUAUUUAUACUCCAAUUUCUUAGAUAUAGAAAAUAUCCCGAGAAAAAGAACACAAGGCGAGCUACCUAUUUUGUGUAGCUAAAAUGGCAACACUGAGUCUGAUGCAACACAGGCUACAUAUGAGCGGACGGGUACUGGACCCGUGAGUUCUAGCUCCUGUCAGUUUGUUUAUUUGAAAUGGUGCUAUUUUUCGAUUUUGUAAUAUGUUUUUAAAAUUGCUUGGCGAGCCGUGGUCAACUCUCGCGUGCCAACUUUGGCAUGCAUGCCAGGGAUUGCCGACACCUGCUGUACAGUUAUAAUCUCUUCAUUCUAUAAAACAAAUAUUAGAAGAAAAAAAUGACAAUGUCUUUAGUGAAACUGUGAAUUUCAUAUACAAUAGUUAUAUGUCACUACUGUAUUCUGUCUUGACUGAAAUUAAUUGGUUAAAUUUUGCCAGUAAUGGAUUCCUUGGGCUUUAUUUUAUACUGUAGUACUUAAUUUAUCUCUUGCAUGGGGAAGGAAGCUGGUGGAUUAUAUAGUAAACCCCUUCACUGUUCUUACUGAGUUUGUCCUUCAUGGGUCAAGCUGGACAACACCUUCCCCAUAUCUGAUCCAAGCAGGAAUCAAACCCUGGUUCCAGAGGCGGGAGGUAAAUGAACUACCGCUGUACAGUCUCGCCCAAAAGUUCAUUAACUCUCCCAGCCAGCUAUUGCUGCACUGCCAGCUUCAGAUGUUUGAAACUGUCUCAGUACCAACCAGAACAUGAAACUGAUACGAAUGAAUCUAAAGGUUUGAAGUAACAGACUCAAGUUCAUACAUCUGAAGCAGGCAGUGCAGCAAUAGCUGGCUGGCAGAGUUAACCAACUUUUGGGUGAGACUGUACAAUUAAUAUCUUUCAUAUACCACCAACAUAGAUAUAAGAUGUCAUAAAUGUUUGCUCCAAGAGUAGUAUAUUUCACCGAGAUUAAUUGAAGAGUGUACUGUAGUGGCUUCUAUACAUAUCAAUAAAGAAACUUUUCUGUACUUUUGUAAUAGAGAUUAAAAUAUAAUACUUCCCUUGUUAUUUUUGUAAUGUACUGAUUUUUACAGAAUGAGAAGGAUUUGUAAAUUCUAAUGUAUCAAAUUUUGUGAUGUUAAAACUUAUUUAAUUGUGUUUGUUGAGGUUACAGAAAUUUUAUCACAGUAUAGCAUAUUUAUGGCUUCACUUAUGGAAUGCUAUUUUUCUAAACUAAUAUAUUUUAGAAAUUCAUUAUGCUGCUAUAAGUCAACUGUCUUCCGAGUUCCCUUUAUGAGUAAUAAAGUGUUCAUUAGAAAUAC